This 2014-nucleotide long non-coding RNA is filed under the name Mytilus galloprovincialis (Mediterranean mussel). The record is from RNAcentral. Lineage: Eukaryota; Metazoa; Mollusca; Bivalvia; Mytilida; Mytilidae.
GUUCAAUUUUUAUUAAUUGAUACCAGAUAGUAUAUAUAUAUAUAUAUAUUGUAAAUGUUGCAUCACUUUUUCUAACAUACAUGUACUGGUGUAGAAUACAAUGUAACACAUAUGUCUAACAAAUAAAACACAAAUGUCUAACAUCAAAUACAUAUUUCUUAUACAAUUUUGCCUGGUUAAUGUAACAUUAAAUAUGAUGAGAAUAUAAAAAAAAAUCAGAAAUGAUAAUUUAGGGGUGGAUUUGCAGGGUGCCAGGGAUCUCCACGUAAGGAGCUAAAUAUAUGGCUAAUGCAUCAACCUUUUAUACUCUGAACAUUGCCUAAACUGGGGCUGAGACCCCUCCCUUUUUUUAAAUCCUAGAUUCACAUCUGAUUUUAGUAAUAAGCAGAUUUGGAGAGGUAUCAUUGUUUUGAAACUUUAUUUGCAUAACUUCAAAUUUACAAUCAUAGCUCAGAAUUAUAUUUUUCAGGAAAAAAUCAUUAACAUGAAUUUUCCUUAAUAAUAGUAAGUUUCUCAUCUCAGUUUAAUUAAUUGUUAUUUGAAAAUUCAAAUGCAUUAAUAUGUACAAUUCAAUAAUUUAUGUAUUCAUGCAUAUUCAGUAAUCAAACAAGAAAACAAAUACAACUACAGUGCACAUUAUUACACAAAUUAAUUGAAGCCAUAAUUUUAUUUUUCAAAAUUUUGCAAUUCUUGCUGUAAAUUUACUCAAACUGUAAUCUGUUGUACUUAUAAAUAAAUGGUUAAGAUCCCCUUUUCAUAAAAAAUAUGAUAAAACUACCACUUAUUUAAGUGUGGUCUAUGUUGACACUUACAAUAAUUUGAAAGUGGACAUCUUUUUCUAAAAUGGAGGUCAUCUCAAAAUUGAAGAAAACAAUUAAUUUUGGAAUGUAGAACAAUGCAAUAUUCUCAACUGACUAGAACUCAAAGAUAUUAUAUAAAGGCAAUCAUUCUCUCUUUUAUUCCCUAAAUGUUACUUUUUUUUGUAUAAUCUAGGAUAUUCACAUUGGGCAAACAGUUUUAUUCAAACCAUCAUAUAUAGGCAAUAUGAAUUUCUUCUUCAUUAUAAUAUAGAGAAUAAUUAUGUUUGUGAAACAAUUAACUAAAUUAAGACAUUCACAUAAGUAUCACAGUAAUAUCCAAAUAUAUAUCUAUCUAUUGCUAUAUAACUUAUAUUAAUUUAAACAAAAUUACUUGAACGAGACAGAUCCAUAACUAAUUCAGCAAAAAUACCUAGGAAAAUUGUUUUCGAUUUUCAUCUUUUAAUGUUCUUGAUUAGGAGUGGCUGACUAGUUUACUUAAGUAUUUCAGCUGUAUUUCAUACUAUCAAUACACAUGUACCACCAACAAUCUCACAAUCACAUUGACACUCUAUAUUGUGACUAUAUACACAUGAUUUAUGGUUAAUUUCAGUCAGUUUUUUUGUUUUAGUAAUAGUGAAUUAUCUCCCCUUAAGAAUGAUAACUUAUCUCACUUUAAGAAUGAUAAUUUAUCUCCCUUUAAGAAUGAUAAUGUUAUUUCUACUAUAAAGAUUUGUAACGGUAUUCAUUUUACAACAUAUAAAAAUGGGGGACAUCCUUUAAAAUAUGUUCUAUGUAUUUUAAAGACUUAUUUUUUGCAAAUGAAAUGAAAAAGAAACCUAUAACUGUUUCUGUUGGAAAAAACAAUGAAUUGUAACCAGGGCUUUCCAUUGAAGCCGGUAGCCGGCGGAAAUCCGCCGUUUGCGGUGGCUUCAAGUGCCGGCUACUUCACUGACAAAAAUAUAAAUUCAAAAAGAAAAAUAAUAUCUUUUUCAAAUGUUUACAGGCAGCCGAGAGACGUAUUUUCGCAAAGUCGCGGUCACGAUAAACAAGGAUGAAAAGUCAGUGUUUACCUUGGGCUAAAUAUAGUUCACAUGAAUUCAGGUCACUGAUUGGUUGUCUGUUUAAAGUCAGAAUGCAUCGUUUCUUUUCAAAGAUAACAAGAGAGACGUUCCGGUGGUCAUUGAAUGAUAACAAUAGAGACGUUCCGAGGGUCA